This 499-nucleotide ribosomal RNA is filed under the name uncultured bacterium. RNAcentral describes it as "partial 16S ribosomal RNA". It matches the Rfam family "Bacterial small subunit ribosomal RNA", at positions 28 to 507 of the family's 1533-position model. The record is from RNAcentral.
GAUGAACGCUGGCGGCGUGCCUAAUACAUGCAAGUCGAGCGAACAGACGAGAGUGCUUGCACUCUCUGACGUUAGCGGCGGACGGGUGAGUAACACGUGGGUAACCUACCUAUAAGACUGGGAUAACUUCGGGAAACCGGAGCUAAUACCGGAUAAUAUUUAGCUUCGCAUGAAGCAAUAGUGAAAGACGGUUCUGCUGUCACUUAUAGAUGGACCCGCGGUGUACUAGCUAGUUGGUGAGGUAACGGCUCACCAAGGCAACGAUACAUAGCCGACCUGAGAGGGUGAUCGGCCACACUGGGACUGAGACACGGCCCAGACUCCUACGGGAGGCAGCAGUAGGGAAUCUUCCGCAAUGGACGAAAGUCUGACGGAGCAAUGCCGCGUGAGUGAAGAAGGUUUUCGGAUCGUAAAACUCUGUUGUAAGGGAAGAACAAGUACGUUAGUAACUGAACGUACCUUGACGGUACCUUACCAGAAAGCCACGGCUAACUACGUG